CGGACGGGUGAGUAACACGUGGGCAACCUGCCUGUAAGACUGGGAUAACUUCGGGAAACCGGAGCUAAUACCGGAUAAUCCUUUUCUACUCAUGUAGAAAAGCUGAAAGACGGUUUACGCUGUCACUUACAGAUGGGCCCGCGGCGCAUUAGCUAGUUGGUGAGGUAACGGCUCACCAAGGCGACGAUGCGUAGCCGACCUGAGAGGGUGAUCGGCCACACUGGGACUGAGACACGGCCCAGACUCCUACGGGAGGCAGCAGUAGGGAAUCUUCCGCAAUGGACGAAAGUCUGACGGAGCAACGCCGCGUGAGUGAUGAAGGUUUUCGGAUCGUAAAACUCUGUUGUUAGGGAAGAACAAGUACGAGAGUAACUGCUCGUACCUUGACGGUACCUAACCAGAAAGCCACGGCUAACUACGUGCCAGCAGCCGCGGUAAUACGUAGGUGGCAAGCGUUGUCCGGAAUUAUUGGGGCGAAAGCGCGCGCAGGCGGUCCUUUA
RNAcentral lists this ribosomal RNA (500 nucleotides) under Niallia nealsonii. RNAcentral's name for it is "bacterial SSU rRNA". It matches the Rfam family "Bacterial small subunit ribosomal RNA", at positions 99 to 585 of the family's 1533-position model. The record is from RNAcentral. Lineage: Bacteria; Bacillati; Bacillota; Bacilli; Caryophanales; Bacillaceae.